This is an RNA transcript of Macadamia integrifolia, 4157 nucleotides long. It is a transcript of the gene named tetratricopeptide repeat protein SKI3, with no coding region annotated. Lineage: Eukaryota; Viridiplantae; Streptophyta; Magnoliopsida; Proteales; Proteaceae. The record is from RefSeq and is a predicted model, not a curated record. The transcript has 24 exons.
UCUGCGAAAUCUAUUUGGUUGUGCCGGGGAUAAUUGGUACUCCCCAGUUUCCCUCCCUAUUAACUUGGGUCACUGAGUCUGAAGCGCGGCAGAAACGGGUUUUCGGUCUGGGGCGUUGGGGGUUUAACUUUAGCAGUCGAGAUGGGAGACAAGGAAGACGAAGCUCGCCUGAAACAACUGCAAGAGACUGUAGAUUCCGACCCGAACAACCCUUCUCACCAUUACAAUCUCGGGCUUUUCUUGUGGGAGAAAGUUGAUGAGUCGAAGGAAUUUAAGGAAAAAGCAGUGGAGCAUUUUGUUAUCUCCGCCAAGUUAAACCCUAACAAUGGCUCUGCGUUUCGCUUCUUAGGGCAUUACUACAGCCGUGUGUCAGUCGACUCCCAAAGAGCUUCAAAGUGCUACCAGAGAGCUGUGACUCUCAAUCCAGAUGAUUUUGAAGCUGGGGAGGAUCUUUGUGAUUUGUUGGAUGACGAAGGAAAAGAGAGCCUGGAGAUUGUGGUCUGCCGAGAAGCUUCGGAGAAGUCGCCCAGAGCUUUUUGGGCUUUCCGGAGAUUAGGUUACCUGCAGGUGCAUCAAAAGAAAUGGUCUGAAGCAGUACAGAGCCUUCAACAUGCGAUAAGAGGCUACCCCACGUGUGCAGAUUUGUGGGAAGCUUUGGGUCUUGCAUAUCAGCGACUUGGCAUGCUUACAGCUGCUAUAAAGUCAUAUGGGCGAGCCAUUGAAUUGGAGGACUCAAGAGUCUUUGCAUUGGUUGAGAGUGGAAACAUUUUAUUGAUGCUUGGAUCCUUUAGAAAAGGAAUUGAGCAGUUACGACAGGCUUUAGACAUAUCACCUCAUAAUGUUGCUGCACUCUAUGGGCUUGCUUCUGGGCUGCUUGGUUUGUCAAAGGAAUGUGUACAUUCUGGUGCUUUUGGUUGGGGAACUUCGCUGUUGGAGGAAGCGUCUGAGAUUGUGAAAACAAGUAUACCUUUGGCUGGAAAUAAUGCCUGUUCUUGGAAAUUGCAUGGUGAUAUUCAGCUUACAUAUGCAAAAUGUUUCCCAUGGAUGGAAGAAGGUUUUAGCUUAGAAACUGAUGAGGCUUUUAGAAAUUCCAUCCUUUCUUGGAAAAGGAAGUGUCUUUCAGCUGCAAUAGCUGCGAGUCGUUCCUAUCAGCGGUCUUUGCACUUGGCUCCGUGGCAAGCUAACAUCUAUACUGACAUUGCGAUCUCUCUUGAUCUCAUUUGUUCUUUGGAGGAGAGGAGUAAACCUGAACCAGAUGCUUGGCAGUUACCUGAGAAGAUGUCUCUUGGUGGUUUACUACUUGAAGGAGACAACAAUGAUUUCUGGGUGGCUCUAGGUUGUUUAUCCAACAACAAUGCAUUAAAACAACAUGCUUUUGUCAGGGGAUUGCAGUUGGAUGUAUCUCUUGCUGUUGCAUGGGCAUACCUUGGAAAGAUUUACAGAAAAGAGGGUGAGAAACAAUUGGCGAAGCAGGCAUUUGAUCGUGCUAGGAGCAUAGAUCCUUCACUUGCAUUACCAUGGGCAGGCAUGUCAGUGGAUACUCAUGCUGGGGGUAACACACUAUACGAGGCUUAUGAAAGCUGUCUACGGGCUGUUCAGACAUUGCCUCUCGCAGAGUUCCAGAUUGGUCUUGGAAAGCUCGCUGCUCUUUCAGGCCACCUGUCGUCUCCCUUAGUUUUUGGAGCCAUCCGACAGGCUGUGCAGCGUGCACCUCACUAUCCUGAGUCACAUAAUCUAAAUGGGCUGGUUUGUGAGGCGAGGUCGGAUUAUCAGUCUGCUGUUGCUUCUUAUAGGCUUGCUCGAUUCACCAUCUGUACUUCUAACAGCAUGGGACAAGAUUCCCUCUUCUGUGACAUUUCUUUUAAUCUGGCCAGGUCACUUCUUUUGGCAGGGAAUGCUCUUGAUGCUGUUCGAGAAUGUGAGCUUCUGAAGAGAGAAGGUUUGCUUGAUAGCCAGGGCUUGCAGGUGUAUGCCAUCUCUUUAUGGAAACUUGGCAAGAAUGACCUGGCCCUUUCUAUGGCAAGAAACUUAGCUGCGAGUGUUUCUACGAUGGAAAGCACAUCUGGUGCUACCUCCAUUAGUUUGAUCUUUAAAUUGCUGUACCACAUUUCGGGGAUAGAAUCUGCAGUAACAAGCAUCCUGAAAAUGCCGAGGGAACUAUUGCAGAGUUCAAAAAUCAGUUUUAUUGUCUCUGCAAUUCAUGCUCUAGACCAUAGUAGCAGACUCGAGUCAAUUGUUUCAAUUACACGUCGUUUUGUUACAUCACAUGAGGAGAUUACUGGAAUGCACUCUUUAAUCGCCUUAAGCAAACUAGUCAAACAAGGAUCAGAACUGAACAUGGAAAUUCAGAGUAGAGCCAAUCACCUCAAAAAAGCUCUUCAUAUGUACCCUAACAGCAGUUUGAUAAGGAAUGAACUAGGUUAUCUUUUGCUAUCCAGUAAGGAAUGGAAAGAUACACAUGAAGUUACUAGAUGUGUUGUCGUAGACCCUCCUGGUCGCCCGAGUGUGGAGGCAUCAAAAUCGGCAUACAAGAUUCUAGGUGCUGCUGCAAUUGCAUGCUAUGCCUGUGGUACGACCAACCAAAAGUUCUCCUUCCCUACGUGUAAAGACCGGUUCAUGCAUGAAGGACACGCAACCAAACAAAUGCAGAAGUGGUUACAUCAAGAACCGUGGAACGACAAUGCUCGGUUCUUGCUUCUACUUAAUGUUCUUCAGAAGGCUCGUGAAGAGAGAUUUCCUCAGCAUCUUUGUGUUACACUUAAACGGCUACUAUCAGCCGCUCUCUUGGAUGAAGUAUAUUCAAAGAAAGAUAUCUCUUAUCAAUAUCAGAAGUUCCAACUUCUCCUCUGUGCUUCAGAGAUCAGUUUCCAAGGUGGAGACCACUUUGGAUGCAUCAACCACGCUACAAAUGCAUCAAGGCUCGCUCUUCCUGGUGAAAUUCUAUUUUUUGCACAUCUGCUACUAUGCCGUGCCUAUGCAGUUCAAGAGGAUUUAUCGAGACUGCAGGGUGAGUAUUUGAAAUGCUUGCAGCUCAAGACAGAUAUUCAAAUUGGUUGGGUAUGCCUCAAACUUCUAGUAUCUAGAUACAAACUCCAGAUUGAUUCGAAUACCAUAGACUUGAACUUCGAAGAGUGCUUCAGAGAGAGAAAGAGUACUUCGAAUAUGUGGAUGGCCGUCUUUGAUUUAGUAAGAGGUCAAAUUUUCAUACGGAAUCAGGAUUAUCAUUCUGCUCAAGAAACAUUUGCACAUGCUUGUUCGUUGGCAAGAGCAGAUAGUUGUGUCCUUCUAUGCCAUGGGGCCAUUUGUAUGGAGCUUGCCAGGCAGGGGUAUGGUUCGCAGUUCUUAUCUCUGGCAGCAAGUAGUCUCAGAAAAGCUCAAGGGUCCGCUGUCAUUCCUCUCCCUAUUGUAUCUGCAUUGCUGGCUCAAGCAGAAGGAAGCCUUGGCUCCAAAGCAAAAUGGGAGAAAAACGUCCGUCUUGAAUGGUUUUCUUGGCCACCAGAGAUGAGGCCUGCAGAAUUGUAUUUUCAAAUGUAUUUGCUUGCAAUGCAACUGAAAGCUGGUUCUGAUUCUGCAUCAAAUAUUGAGUCCUAUCAAAGUCCGAAGAGAUGGGUUCUCCGAGCAAUACAUUUGAACCCAUCCUGUUUACGAUACUGGAAAGUUUUAUCGAAGGUGGAGCGACUGCCCUAGUUCGUGGGUACUAAUUUUACUGGUUAGGGCUAAGGUGAAGAGCAAUUGAACUACUCCAGCUACUCCAAGGUUUUGAUAUAUUUGUGACUCGGUUUAGGAUUUUGAAAGAUAACUUUUUUGGGGAAAAGAAUGCUCUCUGAUCGCACGGCCCUUGUCCCAGCGCAGGGGUGCACAUGGACAGUUUCAUAGGGGUGGAGGUGUCAUUUUGUUGCUCUCUAUGUUUGGGUGUAAGGCCACGUGAUCUGGGAUCAUUCUUUUUUUAUUUAUUUAUUAUUAUUAUUAUUAUUUUUUUUUUAUAAUUUGGGGGAGGGGUUUGGUAAAGGUGAUAUCUUUGAGUGUUGGGGAGAGGUCCUAGUAACUAGUAAGGGUGCCAAUCCAUUGGAUUCUGGUUGGUUCAAGAUAUAAUUUGUACAAACUGAAACCGAAUAAUUUUAAUAACUUCAAGUGUUAUUCAGUUCCUAUUUUGUUUC